Molecule: ribosomal RNA, 305 nt
Filed under: uncultured bacterium
Lineage: Bacteria
Description: bacterial SSU rRNA
Rfam family: Bacterial small subunit ribosomal RNA
Source: RNAcentral
GUCCUACGGGAGGCAGCAGUGGGGAAUAUUGGGCAAUGGGCGCAAGCCUGACCCAGCAACGCCGCGUGAAGGAAGAAGGCUUUCGGGUUGUAAAGAUCUGUUGACAGGGACGAAUAAGCAAUGCGAAUAGUUUUGUGUAUGACGGUACCUGUUUAGAAAGCUCCGGCUAACUACGUGCCAGCAGCCGCGGUAAUACGUAGGGAGCAAGCGUUGUCCGGAAUUACUGGGCGUAAAGGGCGCGUAGGUGGGCGCUUAAGUCAGGUGUGAAAACUCCGGGCUCAACCUGGAGACUGCACUUGAAACUG